RNAcentral lists this transfer RNA (71 nucleotides) under Ictidomys tridecemlineatus (thirteen-lined ground squirrel). Its description in RNAcentral is "Spermophilus tridecemlineatus (thirteen-lined ground squirrel) tRNA". It matches the Rfam family "tRNA". Rfam says of the family: Transfer RNA (tRNA) molecules are approximately 80 nucleotides in length. Their secondary structure includes four short double-helical elements and three loops (D, anti-codon, and T loops). The record is from Rfam by way of RNAcentral. Lineage: Eukaryota; Metazoa; Chordata; Mammalia; Rodentia; Sciuridae.
GGGGAUAUAGCUCAGUUGGUAGAGCGCUUGCCUUGCAAUGCAUAAGGCCCUGGGGUCAAUUCCCAGCACCA